RNAcentral lists this ribosomal RNA (503 nucleotides) under uncultured Acidobacteriaceae bacterium. RNAcentral describes it as "bacterial SSU rRNA". It matches the Rfam family "Bacterial small subunit ribosomal RNA", at positions 8 to 492 of the family's 1533-position model. Lineage: Bacteria; Pseudomonadati; Acidobacteriota; Terriglobia; Terriglobales; Acidobacteriaceae. The record is from RNAcentral.
AGAGUUUGAUCCUGGCUCAGAAUCAACGCUGGCGGCGUGCCUAACACAUGCAAGUCGAACGCGAAAGCCCCGCAAGGGGCAAGUAGAGCGGCAAACGGGUGAGUAACACGUGGGUGACCUGCCUUCGAGCGGGGGAUAACGUCCCGAAAGGGACGCUAAUACCGCAUAACAUCCUGCCUUUGAAGAGGUGGAGAUCAAAGCCGGGGAUCGCAAGACCCGGCACUUGAAGAGGGGCCCGCGCCUGAUUAGCUAGUUGGUGGGGUAAUGGCCUACCAAGGCAACGAUCAGUAUCCGGCCUGAGAGGGCGGACGGACACACUGGGACUGAGGCACGGCCCAGACUCCUACGGGAGGCAGCAGUGGGGAAUUGUUCGCAAUGGGCGCAAGCCUGACGACGCAACGCCGCGUGGAGGAUGAAGAUUUUCGGAUCGUAAACUCCUGUCGAAUGGGACGAAUAGAUUGCGGGUUAACAGCCCGUAGUCCUGACGGUACCGUAAAGAAUCC